AGAGUUUGAUCCUGGCUCAGAAUCAACGCUGGCGGCGCGCCUAACACAUGCAAGUCGAACGCGAAAGGGCCCUUCGGGGCUUGAGUAGAGUGGCGGACGGGUGAGUAACACGUGGAUGACCUGCCCCCGGGAGGGGGACAACCCCGGGAAACCGGGGCUAAUACCGCAUACGCCGGCGGCCGUAGGGGCUGUCGGGAAAGCGCAUGCGCCCGGGGAGGGGUCCGCGGCCGAUUAGCUGGUUGGCGGGGUAAGGGCCCGCCAAGGCGACGAUCGGUAGCCGGCCUGAGAGGGCGCGCGGCCACACUGGCACUGAGACACGGGCCAGACUCCUGCGGGAGGCAGCAGUGGGGAAUCUUGGACAAUGGGGGCAACCCUGAUCCAGCGACGCCGCGUGACCGAGGAAGGCCCUCGGGUCGUAAAGGUCUUUCAGCGGGGACUAUGGUGAAGGUACCCGCAGAAGCAGGAGCGGCUAACUACGUGACAGCAGCCGCGGGAAUACGUAGGCUCCAAGCGUUGUACGGAAUCACUGGGCGUAAAGCGAGCGCAGGCGGCGCGCCGUGCCGGUCGUGAAAUCUCCCNGCUCAACCGGGGAGGGGGCGGNCGGGACUGGCGGGCUAAAGUGCGGCAGGGGAAGGCAGAAUUCCUGUUGUA
Molecule: ribosomal RNA, 651 nt
Filed under: uncultured Acidobacteriota bacterium
Lineage: Bacteria; Pseudomonadati; Acidobacteriota
Description: SSU rRNA
Rfam family: Bacterial small subunit ribosomal RNA
Source: RNAcentral